UACGUAGGGGGCAAGCGUUAUCCGGAUUCAUUGGGCGUAAAGAGCGCGUAGGCGGCUUGCUAAGCGAGAUGUGAAAACAGGGGGCUCAACCCGCUGCCUGCAUCUCGAACUGGUAGGCUUGAGUCUGGUAGAGGAAAGUGGAAUUCCCAGUGUAGCGGUGAAAUGCGCAGAUAUUGGGAGGAACACCAGUGGCGAAGGCGGCUUUCUGGGCCACGACUGACGCUGAGGCGCGAAAGCUAGGGGAGCAAACAGG
This 253-nucleotide ribosomal RNA is filed under the name uncultured Coriobacteriales bacterium. Its description in RNAcentral is "partial 16S ribosomal RNA". It matches the Rfam family "Bacterial small subunit ribosomal RNA", at positions 524 to 776 of the family's 1533-position model. The record is from RNAcentral. Lineage: Bacteria; Bacillati; Actinomycetota; Coriobacteriia; Coriobacteriales.